Molecule: transfer RNA, 87 nt
Filed under: Acidobacteriota bacterium
Lineage: Bacteria; Pseudomonadati; Acidobacteriota
Also listed under: 4 other names
Description: tRNA-Leu
Rfam family: tRNA
About the family: Transfer RNA (tRNA) molecules are approximately 80 nucleotides in length. Their secondary structure includes four short double-helical elements and three loops (D, anti-codon, and T loops).
Source: RNAcentral
GCGGAAGUGGCGGAAUUGGCAGACGCGCUAGAUUCAGGUUCUAGUGGCCGCAAGGUCGUGGGGGUUCAAGUCCCCCCUUCCGCACCA